UCAGGUACUCCCUGGAGAGAAUUUGAGGACUUCAGGUGCUCCCUGGAGAAGGUACUGGGGUUCAGGUGCUCCCUGGAGUGGAUCUGAAGAUGUUGCGUGCUCCCUGGAGAGGAUUUGGGGGCUCGGGUGCUCCCUGGAGAAGGUUUGGAGGUUCAGGAGCUCCCUGGAGAGGAUUUGAGGAAUUCAGGUGCUCCCUGGAGAGGUUUGGGGGCUCAGGUGCUCCCUGAAGAAGGUUUGGGGGUUCCCCUGCUCCGUGGAGAGGAUUUGGGGGCUCAGGUGCUCCCUGGAGAAGGUUUGGGGUUCCAGAUGCUCCCUGGAGAGGAUUUGGGGGUUCAGGUUCUCCCUGGAGAGUUUCAGGGGUUCAGGUGCUCCGUGGAGAGGAUUUGAAGACUUCAGGCUCUCCCUGGAGAAGGUUUGGAGGUUCAGGAGCUCCUUGGAGAGAAUUUGAGGACUUCAGGUGCUCCCUGCAGUGGAUCUGAAGAUGUUGGGUACUCCCUGGAGAAGGUUUGGGGCUUCAGGCUCUCCCUGGAGGAGGUUUGGGGGUUCAGGAGCUCCCUGGAGAAGGUUUGUUGGGGGGUUCAGGUGCUCCCUGGAGAGGUUCAGGAGCUCUGUGCCCUGCUCUGGGGCUCGCUGGGCAGGGAGUGCCCAGCCUGGUGCCCGCUCUGGCCAGGCAGCUGCUGGUGGGUGGCAAAUCCUGCCCGGGCAGUGCCGAGGCCACCGAGUGCCCACAGGAGCUCUGGGUGCCCAAAAGAUCUCUCUUGUGCCCUCAGGAGCUCUGGGUGGUGCCAACAGGAGCUCUGGGUGCCCUCAGGAGCUCUCUUGGUGCCCAAAAGAUCUCUCUUGUGCCCUCAGGUGCUCUGGGUGGUGCCAGCCCCAGCUGAGGUGCCCAGAGGAGCUGUGGGUGGUGCCAGCCCCAGGUGAGGUGCCCUCAGGAGCUGUGGGUGGUGCCAGCCCCAGCUGAGGUGCCCAGAGGAGCUGUGGGUGGUGCCAGCCCCAGCUGAGGUGCCCAGAGGAGCUGUGGGUGGUGCCAGCCCCAGGUGAGGUGCCCUCAGGAGCUGUGGGUGGUGCCA
Long non-coding RNA from Haemorhous mexicanus (house finch), 1070 nucleotides. RefSeq lists it as uncharacterized. The transcript is spliced from 3 exons. The record is from RefSeq and is a predicted model, not a curated record. NCBI's taxonomy places the organism in Eukaryota, Metazoa, Chordata, Aves, Passeriformes, Fringillidae.